GGAUUGUGGCUCAGUGGUAGAGUGCUUGCCUCACCCAUGUGAGGCUCUGGGUUCGAUCCUCAGCACCA
RNAcentral lists this transfer RNA (68 nucleotides) under Marmota monax (woodchuck). RNAcentral describes it as "tRNA.Val". The record is from RNAcentral. Lineage: Eukaryota; Metazoa; Chordata; Mammalia; Rodentia; Sciuridae.